CAAUAGCGUAUAUUAAAGUUGUUGCAGUUAAAAAGCUCGUAGUUGGAUCUCGGGUCCAGGCUUGUGGUGCAGCUUAGGCUGCUGACUGCCCGUCCUGACCUCCCUCCCGGUUUUCCCUUGGUGCUCUUAAGUGAGUGUCUUGGGUGGCCGGAACGUUUACUUUGAAAAAAUUAGAGUGCUCAAAGCAGGCUUUCGCCUGAAUAUUAGUGCAUGGAAUAAUUGAAUAGGACCUCGGUUCUAUUUUGUUGGUUUUCGGAACUCGAGGUAAUGAUUAAGAGGGACAGACGGGGGCAUUCGUAUUACGGUGUUAGAGGUGAAAUUCUUGGAUCGCCGUAAGACGAACUACUGCGAAAGCAUUUGCCAAGCAUGUUUUCAUUAG
This 379-nucleotide ribosomal RNA is filed under the name uncultured eukaryote. RNAcentral's name for it is "partial 18S ribosomal RNA". It matches the Rfam family "Eukaryotic small subunit ribosomal RNA", at positions 592 to 976 of the family's 1831-position model. The record is from RNAcentral.